Molecule: small nuclear RNA, 309 nt
Filed under: Erinaceus europaeus (western European hedgehog)
Lineage: Eukaryota; Metazoa; Chordata; Mammalia; Eulipotyphla; Erinaceidae
Description: 7SK RNA
Rfam family: 7SK RNA
About the family: 7SK was discovered as an abundant small nuclear RNA in the mid-70s but a possible function has only recently been suggested.
Source: Rfam by way of RNAcentral
GGAUGUGAGGGCGAUCUGGCUGCGACAUCUGUCACCCCAUUGAUCACCAGGGUUGAUUCGGCUGAUCUGGCUGGCUAGGCGGGGGUCCCCUUCCUCCCUCACUGCUCUACGUGCAUCCCUCCCAAAGCUGCGCGCUCGGUCGAAGAGGACGGCCUUCCCAAAAUAGAGACGGACCGGUCUUUGGUCAAGGGUAUACGAGUAGCUGCGCUCCCCUGCUAGAACCUCCCCAAACAAGCUCUCGAGAACUGUAGAAAUAUCUAUUAAAUAUUGCAUACUCGCAAGGACCGACUUAAGGAUCCUGGUUCGAGC